Molecule: ribosomal RNA, 501 nt
Filed under: uncultured bacterium
Lineage: Bacteria
Description: partial 16S ribosomal RNA
Rfam family: Bacterial small subunit ribosomal RNA
Source: RNAcentral
AUUGAACGCUGGCGGCAGGCUUAACACAUGCAAGUCGAGCGGAGAUGAGGUGCUUGCACCUUAUCUUAGCGGCGGACGGGUGAGUAAUGCUUAGGAAUCUGCCUAUUAGUGGGGGACAACAUUCCGAAAGGAAUGCUAAUACCGCAUACGUCCUACGGGAGAAAGCAGGGGAUCUUCGGACCUUGCGCUAAUAGAUGAGCCUAAGUCGGAUUAGCUAGUUGGUGGGGUAAAGGCCUACCAAGGCGACGAUCUGUAGCGGGUCUGAGAGGAUGAUCAGCCACACUGGGACUUGGACACGGCCCAGACUACUACGGGAGGCAGCAGUGGGGAAUAUUGGACAAUGGGGGGAACCCUGAUCCAGCCAUGCCGCGUGUGUGAAGAAGGCCUUAUGGUUGUAAAGCACUUUAAGCGAGGAGGAGGCUACUGAGACUAAUACUCUUGGAUAGUGGACGUUACUCGCAGAAUAAGCACCGGCUAACUCUGUGCCAGCCGCCGCCGUAA